This 478-nucleotide ribosomal RNA is filed under the name uncultured bacterium. RNAcentral describes it as "partial 16S ribosomal RNA". It matches the Rfam family "Bacterial small subunit ribosomal RNA", at positions 28 to 523 of the family's 1533-position model. The record is from RNAcentral.
GACGAACGCUGGCGGCGUGCUUAACACAUGCAAGUCGAACGGUAAGGCCCUUCGGGGUACACGAGUGGCGAACGGGUGAGUAACACGUGGGUGAUCUGCCCUGCACUUCGGGAUAAGCCUGGGAAACUGGGUCUAAUACCGGAUAGGACCACUGCCUGCAUGGGUGGUGGUGGAAAGCUUUUGCGGGGUGGGAUGGGCCGGCGGCCUAUCAGCUGGGUGGUGGGGUGAUGGCCUACCAAGGCGACGACGGGUAGCCGGCCCGGGAGGGUGACCGGCCACACUGGGACUGAGAUACGGCGCAGAGUCCUACGGGAGGCAGCAGUGGGGAAUAUUGCACAAUGGGCGCGAGCCUGAUGCAGCGACGCCGCGUGAGGGAUGACGGCCUUCGGGUUGUAAACCUCUUUCAGUAGGGACGAAGCGAAAGUGACGGUACCUAAAGAAGAAGCACCGGCUAACUACGUGCCAGCCGCCGCGGUAA